RNAcentral lists this small RNA (279 nucleotides) under uncultured Corynebacterium sp. Its description in RNAcentral is "5' ureB small RNA". It matches the Rfam family "5' ureB small RNA". The record is from RNAcentral. Lineage: Bacteria; Bacillati; Actinomycetota; Actinomycetes; Mycobacteriales; Corynebacteriaceae.
CUGGUCUGGGGAAAUAAAGUGAAUGUGGGUAUCGAUCGCACCGGCGGUGAUGAUCAUGUGCUCACCAGCGAUGAUAUCGGUGCUGACACCGAUCGGGAUGGUGAUGUCAUCCUGAAUAUCCGGGUUACCCGCCUUGCCGAUUCCGGAGAUGCGACCCUCGCGGAUGCCGAUAUCGGCCUUGUAGAUUCCGGUGUAGUCAAGGAUGAGGGCACCGGUGAUGACGGUGUCCGGGACGCCUUCCUCGCGGGUGAGGCGGCCGUUCUGGCCCAUGCCAUCGCG